Molecule: unclassified non-coding RNA, 1025 nt
Filed under: Hevea brasiliensis (rubber tree)
Lineage: Eukaryota; Viridiplantae; Streptophyta; Magnoliopsida; Malpighiales; Euphorbiaceae
Source: RNAcentral
AAAAUACUGUAUUCUAUGCUUCAAGUACUUAAAAUGAUUCAUACAUAAGUAACAAUUUGUAUAAUCCAAACUAUUAUAACAUUCAUUGUGCCACCAGCAAGUUGCUAAUGAACAAACUCCUAUGACAUUUUAGCAAAUUCAUUCUACAUUCCAAGACCAACAUUAUCGAAACGUUGUUCACUCUCCCUCAUAGACAACAUGUAACUCGCGCAAAUUAACAGAUUUGCUCACUCUAAAACUGUCAACAGGUGUCGAGAUUUUCACUAAUAUGCCCCUGAUGUAGAUGCCUUCAACUUCUUAGGUGGUGGAUUACCCCCAGAGAGUAUCACAUAAGAGUAGAAGCAGAACAUUGCAGCGCUGAUGGCAGCAAAGAAGCCAGUAGGGAACAAUUUUCCUGUCAGUGAGAAGGUCUGCAUAUUCUUCCACAGAAGGGUCGCAGCAAGUACUGCUUGACCCAAUAUGAACGGAAAGCUAGUUUUCCCUUCCCGCCACACCUUCAUGCUAAUGGUGCUGAGGGCCAAUAAUGCACCUCCAAAAAGAACACCACUGCUUAAUGUGGCAGGAUUUCUUGAGAAAAUAAAACCAAUAAAUCCUCCCGUGAAAACAAAACCACCAAAGGGAAUUCCUAAACAGAAAUCAUGAAUUUUUGCAGCCUUUUUUGGCUGGCUGCUGGAGUUCUCUUGCACUGACUCAUUUAUUUCUUUCUCAGAGACAUAUUCUUCUGGUGCAGAAUAUGAGUUUGAUGAAGUCCCAUUAAGUGAUUGCGAUGAAUCAGUUGCAUAACUUAAAGUGGUCCGGCUCUUUAAACUGGAUUCAUCUGUGCCAUGUACAUCGUUACUCAUAGAGAUUACCUUUAAGGAAAAAGUAGAACAUGGUUGCAAUGGUCGACUGUGAAACUGUACUAAUCUGCGAUUGAUUGAAGAAAAACAAGAAAGCUGAGAAAUUGCUAAAGACAUAGCUGCUUACUAUGGAUAUUGAAUCUUGAUUUGCUUCCAAAGAUUUUCCCAGCCUACAAAAAUCAAGAG